Molecule: long non-coding RNA, 2024 nt
Filed under: Malus domestica (apple)
Lineage: Eukaryota; Viridiplantae; Streptophyta; Magnoliopsida; Rosales; Rosaceae
Description: long non-coding RNA (MDOM_LNC008353)
Source: RNAcentral
GAUCAAAGGCUCGUGCCUUGGGUGCUCUUGUCCCUUUGGCAGAGUUGAUGCAGAGGUGAAAGAGGUGGCAGAAGUAGCUAUUGCCAUGCUUCGAGUCGUGAUGCCCAAAGUGACACCACUUGCGACGAGGACGCUCUUGUUCUUUGCGCCGGUUGCGGGAACAGUUUGAGCCUUCCUUGAUGCCAUUAAUUUUCGAAGUGCGCUUGAAUUUCGGAGAAAGAGAUGAGAGGCAGAGAUGGUCCCACUGGGCGUGCCAAUUUGUGAACACGGAAAAUUCCUGAAAACGAAAGAGACAAGAAAUGACGUGCACAAACAAAUAUUUGUAUUUGAUAGUUUUGGGUUACAAUCUUUCUCAAAUUUGAUCCUCUGAUUCGAUCUCCGUAAGGUGUUGAUUUAUGGGUGUUUCGUUGAUUCAAGGGGCCGUCGAGGCUUGAUCUUGAAUGAACAGUUGGAAGUUUCUUCAAAGGGCCGUGGGCUUAAUCUUUGAAGGUGGAUUUGAGCAGAUCUUCAAGGAGCCGUUGGGGCUUGAUCUUGAGGAUGAAUGUUUCUUCAAGGGCCGUUUGAGGCUUGAUCUUGAAUAACGGUGAUAAGUGGAUCUUCAAGGGCGUUUGGGCUUGAUCUUGAAGAACAGUGAUGAACGGAUCUUCAAGGGCUUUUGGGCUUGAUCUUGAAGAACGGUUGGAUGUGUGGAUUUGUCGACAUUUGUUGAUCCAAAUGGCCGUUGGGGCUUGAUCUUGGAUGAACGGAUGAUGAAUGAUGGUGCUUUCUUCAAGGGCCGUCGGGGCUUGAUCUUGAAUUGGUGGAUGAUUGUUGAUCCAAAGGGCCGUUGGGCCUUGAUCUUGGAUGAACAAAGAACGAAGAACACUUUCUUGAUUCUUCGGGAUUUGCUGGAUGCUUGAGAGCUUCAGAGUUUCAGAGCUUCCGAGCUUCAAGGUGUAAUCUGAAUUGGUCCCCUCAAAUGGAUGAAAUGGGCUUGUAUUUAUAGAAUUUUCCAAGGCCUAAUAUUGAAUAUAAUAUCCCAGAUGAAAUAAGUCGUUUCUGCCAGGUGUUGACACGUGUCCUAUUUGAUGACUUUUCCAACUCAUUUUUAAUUUUUGGUGAGUCACAUGCUACGUGUAAAAUUUAUGUAAUACAUGAGCAUUGACACUUUGAUUUAUCGGUCAACAUUUAUUUACCGAAAUUUCGAUGUCUACAAUAGUUCCAUAAUUUUUUGGGUGCCCACGUGGCAUUCACCCAAUGGUUAGACAAAAAUAUCACAUGUCCAAUUAAUUAUCAGUUUACAAAAAUAUCCUCGACGUUCAAAAGCUCAUGAAAUCUUCGUUAUAUUCUAAAUCACAUUUUGUUUACGCCCACACUUUCAUAGCAACGAAUACUACAUGGAUACGUUGAGAAAAUAAAUCUUACAUGACACAAUAAGGAGGUCAAAAAAGUCAAUGCAUUUACCUCGAAGGGCAUUUUCGUAAAUUCACUUAUUAAAAUUAUAAAAACCGUAAAAUUGGGAACGGGUCGUUACAUUUUACUCCCUUAAGAAAAAUUUCACCCCCAAAAUUUAAAAUAACUUGUUAAAUGUAAAAUACUCAAAAAUAAGGAGAAAACGUGUAUAUAAAUACAUAUACAAAGAAGAAAUCGAGUUAGAGGGGCUGCAUAAAAGAAAUUGCCAUUCCGUUGCGAUCGGAUUGCAAUGAUUCCUCUUUCAUGCCUCGAAGCUCAUACUUUCCUUCUCCGUUAGCACAAUACUAAAAUCUAGGGUAAAUUACAUAGUAACCCCUCAGGUUUGAGAUCUAUUACAACCCCAUACAACAUCUUUAAAACAUUUCACUUUCAUACCUCACAUACCAUUAUAUUUCAAAAUAAUACCUCUGUUAGAUUUUCCAUCCAUUAGUCUGUUAAGUGCUGAUGUGGCUGCCACAUUUGCGCCACGUGGCUGCCAAAUGUGUGCCACAUGGAAAAAAUAAUUAUUUUUUUAUUUAAAAAAAAACCUGAAUCUUCUUAAAAAAAAAAAAAAUUGAAACACCCCCAUGAAC